AACGAACGCUGGCGGCAUGCCUAACACAUGCAAGUCGAACGGGAUCUUCGGGUCUAGUGGCGCACGGGUGCGUAACGCGUGGGAAUCUGCCCUUUGGUUCGGAAUAACAGUUGGAAACGACUGCUAAUACCGGAUGAUGACGAAAGUCCAAAGAUUUAUCGCCAGAGGAUGAGCCCGCGUAGGAUUAGCUAGUUGGUGUGGUAAAGGCGCACCAAGGCGACGAUCCUUAGCUGGUCUGAGAGGAUGGUCAGCCAAACUGGGACUGAGACACGGCCCAGACUCCUACGGGAGGCGGCCGUGGGGAAUAUUGGACAAUGGGCGAAAGCCUGAUCCCGCAAUGCCGCGUGAGUGAUGAAGGCAUUAGGGUUGUAAAGCUCUUUUACCCGGGAUGAUAAUGACAGUACCGGGAGAAUAAGCUCCGGCUAACUCCGUGCCAGCAGCCGCCGUAA
Molecule: ribosomal RNA, 449 nt
Filed under: uncultured bacterium
Lineage: Bacteria
Description: partial 16S ribosomal RNA
Rfam family: Bacterial small subunit ribosomal RNA
Source: RNAcentral